RNAcentral lists this transfer RNA (57 nucleotides) under Phytophthora infestans T30-4. It matches the Rfam family "tRNA", at positions 8 to 63 of the family's 71-position model. From Rfam's summary of the family: Transfer RNA (tRNA) molecules are approximately 80 nucleotides in length. Their secondary structure includes four short double-helical elements and three loops (D, anti-codon, and T loops). Further hydrogen bonds mediate the characteristic L-shaped molecular structure. tRNAs have two regions of fundamental functional importance: the anti-codon, which is responsible for specific mRNA codon recognition, and the 3' end, to which the tRNAs corresponding amino acid is attached (by aminoacyl-tRNA synthetases). tRNAs cope with the degeneracy of the genetic code in two manners: having more than one tRNA (with a specific anti-codon) for a particular amino acid; and 'wobble' base-pairing, i.e. permitting non-standard base-pairing at the 3rd anti-codon position. Lineage: Eukaryota; Oomycota; Peronosporomycetes; Peronosporales; Peronosporaceae. The record is from Rfam by way of RNAcentral.
UAGCUCAGUGGUCGAGCACUGGCUUUGAAAGCCACUGGUCGGUGGCUCAAAUCCACC